The submitters of this non-coding RNA (82 nucleotides) gave its source as unclassified sequences. The record is from Rfam.
GAGACCUCGUCUCGUGUGUAUCAGAAAUGCACCGUACUCGCUUAGCUCGCGAGCAGCAACUCCGCUGGGAUGAGGAGAAAGG